AGGUCUCUCAGUUGCUUCUUGCAGUGGAAAAUGGGGAAGUGAACAAAUGGAAGGGAAAGAGACUAGAGGACAUAACAGUCGAUGGCGUAAUCCGAUCCGGCGUUGCCUUCCUGCUCCUGCUUUGUCCACUCCCUGGCGAGCGGCUUGACCGGUGCCCAACAGGAGUGCGCAUAUAUACAUGUGUCAAUCUCGAUGAGGAGCCUGCUGGAGUUUCAUUGUUUAUUUCUACUGUGUCGUUUUUCUUAAGUCUGCGAUUUUCUGUUUGAGUUGCUUGAAUCCGUUCGAAAAGACGAUGAUGGACUAAGGUAAGCCGCUUCCCUAUUUCUAAAUCUUUCCUUAAAACGACGUUUAAUCGGGGGCCUCUCCUCAUCUUCCGAUAAACUGUCCAUCACAUUAUCAUGAGAACAAUCACUUGUUUCCUCAAAUUCGUCCGAAAAAUUCGAUCCGUCAGUCUUGGAUAGUAACGAUGGCUUAUCCGACAUACUUGGGAGACGUUUUCACUUAUUACCUUCUCACAAAGUCACACUGGUUUGUAGUAUUUCAACUGACUGAUCACUUGUUUUGGUUUGGUUUGGUUUAUUUUGUUUAACGUCCUAUUAACAGCUAAGGUCA
Molecule: long non-coding RNA, 612 nt
Organism: Pecten maximus
Lineage: Eukaryota; Metazoa; Mollusca; Bivalvia; Pectinida; Pectinidae
Exons: 2
Source: RefSeq, a predicted model, not a curated record